AGGCUGGGUAUCUGUAAAGCUCUUUGUGGUUUUAGGCUGGGUAUCUGUAAAGCUCUUUGGGGUUUUAGGCUGGGUAUCUGUAAAGCUCUUUGGGGUUUUAGGCUGGGUAUCUGUAAAGCUCUUUGGGGUUUUAGGCUGGGUAUCUGUAAAGCUCUUUGGGGUUUUAGGCUGGGUAUCUGUAAAGCUCUUUGUGGUUUUAGGCUGGGUAUCUGUAAAGCUCUUUGGGGUUUUAGGCUGGGUAUCUGUAAAGCUCUUUGUGGUUUUAGGCUGGGUAUCUGUAAAGCUCUUUGGGGUUUUAGGCUGGGUAUCUGUAAAGCUCUUUGUGGUUUUAGGCUGGGUAUCUGUAAAGCUCUUUGGGGUUUUAGGCUGGGUAUCUGUAAAGCUCUUUGGGGUUUUAGGCUGGGUAUCUGUAAAGCUCUUUGUGGUUUUAGGCUGGGUAUCUGUAAAGCUCUUUGGGGUUUUAGGCUGGGUAUCUGUAAAGCUCUUUGGGGUUUUAGGCUGGGUAUCUGUAAAGCUCUUUGGGGUUUUAGGCUGGGUAUCUGUAAAGCUCUUUGGGGUUUUAGGCUGGGUAUCUGUAAAGCUCUUUGGG
Oncorhynchus keta (chum salmon) is the source of this 589-nucleotide long non-coding RNA. RefSeq lists it as uncharacterized. The transcript is spliced from 4 exons. NCBI's taxonomy places the organism in Eukaryota, Metazoa, Chordata, Actinopteri, Salmoniformes, Salmonidae. The record is from RefSeq and is a predicted model, not a curated record.